Molecule: ribosomal RNA, 660 nt
Filed under: uncultured bacterium
Lineage: Bacteria
Description: bacterial SSU rRNA
Rfam family: Bacterial small subunit ribosomal RNA
Source: RNAcentral
UAGCCUUUCGAAAGAAAGAUUAAUACCCGAUGGCAUAGUUCUUCCGCAUGGUAGAACUAUUAAAGAAUUUCGGUCAUCGAUGGGGAUGCGUUCCAUUAGGUUGUUGGCGGGGUAACGGCCCACCAAGCCUUCGAUGGAUAGGGGUUCUGAGAGGAAGGUCCCCCACAUUGGAACUGAGACACGGUCCAAACUCCUACGGGAGGCAGCAGUGAGGAAUAUUGGUCAAUGGACGAGAGUCUGAACCAGCCAAGUAGCGUGAAGGAUGACUGCCCUAUGGGUUGUAAACUUCUUUUAUACGGGAAUAAAGUGAGGCACGUGUGCCUUUUUGUAUGUACCGUAUGAAUAAGGAUCGGCUAACUCCGUGCCAGCAGCCGCGGUAAUACGGAGGAUCCGAGCGUUAUCCGGAUUUAUUGGGUUUAAAGGGAGCGUAGGCGGACGCUUAAGUCAGUUGUGAAAGUUUGCGGCUCAACCGUAAAAUUGCAGUUGAUACUGGGUGUCUUGAGUACAGUAGAGGCAGGCGGAAUUCGUGGUGUAGCGGUGGAAUGCUUAGAUAUCACGAAGAACUCCGAUUGCGAAGGCAGCUUGCUGGACUGUAACUGACGCUGAUGCUCGAAAGUGUGGGUAUCAAACAGGAUUAGAUACCCUGGUAGUCCACACAGU